This 634-nucleotide ribosomal RNA is filed under the name Synechococcus sp. NTDP03. Its description in RNAcentral is "bacterial SSU rRNA". It matches the Rfam family "Bacterial small subunit ribosomal RNA", at positions 98 to 767 of the family's 1533-position model. The record is from RNAcentral. Lineage: Bacteria; Bacillati; Cyanobacteriota; Cyanophyceae; Synechococcales; Synechococcaceae.
UCGGACGGGUUCAUAACGCGUGAGAACCUGCCUCAAGGUCGGGGACAACAGUUGGAAACGACUGCUAAUACCGGAUGAGCCGAAUAGGUAAAAGAUUUAUCGCCUAGAGAGGGGCUCGCGUCUGAUUAGCUAGAUGGUGAGGUAAAGGCUUACCAUGGCGACGAUCAGUAGCUGGUCUGAGAGGAUGAGCAGCCACACUGGGACUGAGACACGGCCCAGACUCCUACGGGAGGCAGCAGUGGGGAAUUUUCCGCAAUGGGCGAAAGCCUGACGGAGCAAUACCGCGUGAGGGAGGAAGGCUCUUGGGUUGUAAACCUCAAAACUUAGGGAAGAAAAAAAUGACGGUACCUAAUGUAAGCAUCGGCUAACUCCGUGCCAGCAGCCGCGGUAAUACGGAGGAUGCAAGCGUUAUCCGGAAUCAUUGGGCGUAAAGAGUCCGUAGGUGGCACUUCAAGUCUGCUUUCAAAGACCGAAGCUCAACUUCGGAAAGGGAGUGGAAACUGAAGAGCUAGAGUAUAGUAGGGGUAGAGGGAAUUCCUAGUGUAGCGGUGAAAUGCGUAGAGAUUAGGAAGAACACCAGUGGCGAAGGCGCUCUACUGGGCAUAUACUGACACUGAGGACGAAUGCAUGUCCC